ACUCCUACGGGAGGCAGCAGUAGGGAAUCUUCCACAAUGGGCGCAAGCCUGAUGGAGCAACACCGCGUGAGUGAAGAAGGGUUUCGGCUCGUAAAGCUCUGUUGUUAAAGAAGAACACGUAUGAGAGUAACUGUUCAUACGUUGACGGUAUUUAACCAGAAAGUCACGGCUAACUACGUGCCAGCAGCCGCGGUAAUACGUAGGUGGCAAGCGUUAUCCGGAUUUAUUGGGCGUAAAGAGAGUGCAGGCGGUUUUCUAAGUCUGAUGUGAAAGCCUUCGGCUUAACCGGAGAAGUGCAUCGGAAACUGGAUAACUUGAGUGCAGAAGAGGGUAGUGGAACUCCAUGUGUAGCGGUGGAAUGCGUAGAUAUAUGGAAGAACACCAGUGGCGAAGGCGGCUACCUGGUCUGCAACUGACGCUGAGACUCGAAAGCAUGGGUAGCGAACAGGAUUAGAUACCCCUGGUAGGAAAGCG
RNAcentral lists this ribosomal RNA (474 nucleotides) under uncultured bacterium. Its description in RNAcentral is "bacterial SSU rRNA". It matches the Rfam family "Bacterial small subunit ribosomal RNA", at positions 335 to 801 of the family's 1533-position model. The record is from RNAcentral.